Molecule: ribosomal RNA, 527 nt
Filed under: uncultured bacterium
Lineage: Bacteria
Description: bacterial SSU rRNA
Rfam family: Bacterial small subunit ribosomal RNA
Source: RNAcentral
AGUGAACGCUGGCGGCGUGCCUAACACAUGCAAGUCGAACGGGCUAGUGCUUCGCACUAGUCUCUUUCUGGGGUUGUUACUCUAAGGCUACCUGCUAAGGUUAUUGCUUUAAAGCAGGGGUUUUAGGAGACUUUCCCCGAAAGGGGCCAGUGCGGAGCACUGGCCAGUGGCGAACGGGUGAGUAACACGUGGGUAAUCUACCCUCGAGUGGGGAAUAAGCUUCCGAAAGGGGGUCUAAUGCCGCAUAACGUUUCAUAACGAUGGUUAUGAAACCAAAGCCCAAAAGGCGCUCGAGGAGGAGCCUGCGUCCUAUCAGCUUGUUGGCAGGGUAAUGGCCUACCAAGGCUAUGACGGGUAGCCGGCCUGAGAGGGUGUCCGGCCACACUGGAACUGAGACACGGUCCAGACUCCUACGGGAGGCAGCAGUGGGGAAUUUUGCGCAAGUGGGGGAAACCCUGACGCAGCGACGCCGCGUGGAGGAUGACGGCCUCGGUUCGUAACUCCUCGUCAGAGGACGAAUCCGACCG